RNAcentral lists this small nucleolar RNA (96 nucleotides) under Triticum aestivum (bread wheat). RNAcentral's name for it is "snoRNA snoZ43". It matches the Rfam family "Small nucleolar RNA Z43". From Rfam's summary of the family: Z43 is a member of the C/D class of snoRNA which contain the C (UGAUGA) and D (CUGA) box motifs. Most of the members of the box C/D family function in directing site-specific 2'-O-methylation of substrate RNAs. RNAcentral also lists the same sequence under 1 other name. Lineage: Eukaryota; Viridiplantae; Streptophyta; Magnoliopsida; Poales; Poaceae. The record is from Rfam by way of RNAcentral.
GGUCCGUGGCGAUUGAUAUUUGGUCUCGUUCGUCGUAAUUGGCAUUCAUUUCCCUUGCCGACCAUCCCGCUGAAUCACCACCCAUAUUCUGAGUCU